AUCAAGGGAGUAGCUAACGUGUAAACGUGAUAAUAUCGACAAUCCGAGUAAUCCGGUAUUAUCUUAAAAAGUGAGACUUGUGGCCGUGCCACAAGUCUCUAUUU
This 104-nucleotide non-coding RNA is filed under the name Floricoccus tropicus. RNAcentral's name for it is "Streptococcus sRNA 10". It matches the Rfam family "Streptococcus sRNA 10". Lineage: Bacteria; Bacillati; Bacillota; Bacilli; Lactobacillales; Streptococcaceae. The record is from Rfam by way of RNAcentral.